UACGUAGGUGGCGAGCGUUAUCCGGAAUGAUUGGGCGUAAAGGGUGCGUAGGCGGAUUGAUAAGUUAGAGGUGAAAUGUCCGAGCUCAACUCGGGAACUGCCUCUAAUACUGUUGAUCUAGAGAGUAGAUGCGGUAGGCGGAAUGUAUGGUGUAGCGGUGAAAUGCUUAGAGAUCAUACAGAACACCGAUUGCGAAGGCAGCUUACCAAUCUAUAUCUGACGUUGAGGCACGAAAGCGUGGGGAGCAAACAGG
Molecule: ribosomal RNA, 253 nt
Filed under: uncultured Rikenellaceae bacterium
Lineage: Bacteria; Pseudomonadati; Bacteroidota; Bacteroidia; Bacteroidales; Rikenellaceae
Description: partial 16S ribosomal RNA
Rfam family: Bacterial small subunit ribosomal RNA
Source: RNAcentral